UGCUUGGGGAUCUGGCUUAUGGAGGGGGAUAACGACGGGAAACUGUCGCUAAUACCGCGUAAUGUCUAAGGACUAGAGGGUGGGACUUUCGGGCCACCUGCCAUAAGAUGAGCCCAAGUGGGAUUAGGUAGUUGGUGGGGUAAAGGCCUACCAAGCCGACGAUCUCUAGCUGGUCUGAGAGGAUGACCAGCCACACUGGAACUGAGACACGGUCCAGACUCCUACGGGAGGCAGCAGUGGGGAAUAUUGCACAAUGGGGGGAACCCUGAUGCAGCCAUGCCGCGUGGAUGAAGAAGGCCUUCGGGUUGUAAAGUUCUUUCGGUGAUGAGGAAGGGUGAUGUUUUAAUAGAGCAUUACAUUGACGUUAGUCACAGAAGAAGCACCGGCUAACUCCGUGCCAGCAGCCGCGGUAAUACGGAGGGUGCGAGCGUUAAUCGGAAUUUUUUUUUUUAAAGGGCACGCCCGCGGUGACUUAAGUGAGAUGUGAAAGCCCCGAGCUUAACUUGGGAAUUGCAUUUCAUACUGGGUGGCUAGAGUAUUUUAGGGAGGGGUAGAAUUCCACGUGUAGCGGUGAAAUGCGUAAAGAUGUGGAGGAAUAC
This 599-nucleotide ribosomal RNA is filed under the name uncultured bacterium. RNAcentral describes it as "bacterial SSU rRNA". It matches the Rfam family "Bacterial small subunit ribosomal RNA", at positions 114 to 709 of the family's 1533-position model. The record is from RNAcentral.